GCAGUGGUGGUUCAUUGGUAGAAUCCUCGCCUUCCAUAUGGGAGAUCCAGGUUCGAUUCCAGGCCAAUGUG
RNAcentral lists this transfer RNA (71 nucleotides) under Loxodonta africana (African savanna elephant). It matches the Rfam family "tRNA". From Rfam's summary of the family: Transfer RNA (tRNA) molecules are approximately 80 nucleotides in length. Their secondary structure includes four short double-helical elements and three loops (D, anti-codon, and T loops). Further hydrogen bonds mediate the characteristic L-shaped molecular structure. tRNAs have two regions of fundamental functional importance: the anti-codon, which is responsible for specific mRNA codon recognition, and the 3' end, to which the tRNAs corresponding amino acid is attached (by aminoacyl-tRNA synthetases). tRNAs cope with the degeneracy of the genetic code in two manners: having more than one tRNA (with a specific anti-codon) for a particular amino acid; and 'wobble' base-pairing, i.e. permitting non-standard base-pairing at the 3rd anti-codon position. Lineage: Eukaryota; Metazoa; Chordata; Mammalia; Proboscidea; Elephantidae. The record is from Rfam by way of RNAcentral.